Molecule: non-coding RNA, 90 nt
Filed under: Mycolicibacterium neworleansense
Lineage: Bacteria; Bacillati; Actinomycetota; Actinomycetes; Mycobacteriales; Mycobacteriaceae
Description: Glycine
Rfam family: Glycine riboswitch aptamer
About the family: This family represents the bacterial glycine riboswitch. Glycine riboswitches usually consist of two metabolite-binding aptamers domains with similar structures in tandem. The aptamers cooperatively bind glycine to regulate the expression of downstream genes.
Source: RNAcentral
UGACGCACUGUGGGAGAACCUCCGCUUCGGAGGCGCCGUAGGAGCAACUCCUCCCCGGGAAUCUCUCAGGCCCAAUACCGCAGUGUCGAG